This 253-nucleotide ribosomal RNA is filed under the name uncultured bacterium. RNAcentral describes it as "partial 16S ribosomal RNA". It matches the Rfam family "Bacterial small subunit ribosomal RNA", at positions 524 to 777 of the family's 1533-position model. The record is from RNAcentral.
UACGUAGGGGGCGAGCGUUGUCCGGAGUUACUGGGCGUAAAGCGCUUGUAGGCGGUCCACCAAGUUUGGGGUGACAGUUGCCGACUUAAUCGGCAAAGUGCCUCAAAGACUGGCGGACUUGAGGCCACAGAGGGACAUGGAACUCCAGGUGUAGUGGUGAAAUGCGUAGAUAUCUGGAAGAACACCAAAGGCGAAGGCAGUGUCCUGGGUGGUCGCUGACGCUGAGAGGCGAAAGCCAGGGGAGCGAACGGGA